GACUCUGUGGCGCAAUGGACAGCGCGUUGGACUUCUAGUUGAUCAUCAUGAAAGUAAUUCAAAGGUUGUGUGAUUGGAGUCCCACCAGAGUUG
Molecule: non-coding RNA, 93 nt
Organism: Gasterosteus aculeatus (three-spined stickleback)
Lineage: Eukaryota; Metazoa; Chordata; Actinopteri; Perciformes; Gasterosteidae
Source: Rfam